This 758-nucleotide ribosomal RNA is filed under the name Micromonospora sp. RNAcentral describes it as "bacterial SSU rRNA". It matches the Rfam family "Bacterial small subunit ribosomal RNA", at positions 63 to 838 of the family's 1533-position model. Lineage: Bacteria; Bacillati; Actinomycetota; Actinomycetes; Micromonosporales; Micromonosporaceae. The record is from RNAcentral.
UGGCUCAGUCGUACAGGUAGCCGUAGAGUUUGAUCCUGGCUCAGUCAUUACCACGUGAGCAUCCUGCCCCAAGCUUUGGGAUAACCCCGGGAAACCGGGGCUAAUACCGAAUAGGACCUGGCCUCGCAUGGGGCUGGGUGGAAAGUUUUUCGGCUUGGGAUGGGCUCGCGGCCUAUCAGCUUGUUGGUGGGGUGAUGGCCUACCAAGGCGACGACGGGUAGCCGGCCUGAGAGGGCGACCGGCCACACUGGGACUGAGACACGGCCCAGACUCCUACGGGAGGCAGCAGUGGGGAAUAUUGCACAAUGGGCGGAAGCCUGAUGCAGCGACGCCGCGUGAGGGAUGACGGCCUUCGGGUUGUAAACCUCUUUCAGCAGGGACGAAGCGUAAGUGACGGUACCUGCAGAAGAAGCACCGGCCAACUACGUGCCAGCAGCCGCGGUAAGACGUAGGGUGCGAGCGUUGUCCGGAUUUAUUGGGCGUAAAGAGCUCGUAGGCGGCUUGUCGCGUCGACUGUGAAAACCCGCAGCUCAACUGCGGGCCUGCAGUCGAUACGGGCAGGCUAGAGUUCGGUAGGGGAGACUGGAAUUCCUGGUGUAGCGGUGAAAUGCGCAGAUAUCAGAGGAACACCGAUGGCGAAAGCAGGUCUCUGGGCCCGAUACUGACGCUGAGGAGCGAAAGCGUGGGGAGCGAACAGGAUUAGAUACCCUGGUAGUCCACGCUGUAAACGUUGGGCGCUAGGUGUGGGGGGGCCUCUC